AAUCAACGCUGGCGGCGUGCCUAACACAUGCAAGUCGAACGCGAAAGCCCCGCAAGGGGCAAGUAGAGUGGCAAACGGGUGAGUAACACGUGGGUGACCUGCCUUCGAGCGGGGGAUAACGUCCCGAAAGGGACGCUAAUACCGCAUAACAUCCUGCCUUUGAAGAGGUGGAGAUCAAAGCUGGGGAUCGCAAGACCCGGCACUUGAAGAGGGGCCCGCGUCUGAUUAGCUAGUUGGGGGGUAAUGGCCUACCAAGGCAACGAUCAGUAUCCGGCCUGAGAGGGCGGACGGACACACUGGGACUGAGACACGGCCCAGACUCCUACGGGAGGCAGCAGUGGGGAAUUGUUCGCAAUGGGCGCAAGCCUGACGACGCAACGCCGCGUGGAGGAUGAAGAUUUUCGGAUCGUAAACUCCUGUCGAAUGGGACGAACAGAUUACGGGUUAACAGCCUGUAGUCCUGACGGUACCGUUAAAGGAAACCCGGCUAACUCCGUGCCAGCAGCCGCUGUAAC
Molecule: ribosomal RNA, 515 nt
Filed under: uncultured bacterium
Lineage: Bacteria
Description: bacterial SSU rRNA
Rfam family: Bacterial small subunit ribosomal RNA
Source: RNAcentral